RNAcentral lists this long non-coding RNA (1356 nucleotides) under Callithrix jacchus (white-tufted-ear marmoset). Its description in RNAcentral is "lncRNA (ENSCJAG00000080209.1)". The record is from RNAcentral. Lineage: Eukaryota; Metazoa; Chordata; Mammalia; Primates; Cebidae.
AUGAAUCUAGUGCACGCCUGUAAGUGGCCCACCACUGCAGUAACAAAUCACCACAGCGCAGUGUUUUACACAACACGGGCCCCUUCCCCACAGCGCGGCGUUUACACAACACAGGCCCCUUCCCACAGCGCAGUGUGUUACACAACACAGGCCCCUUCCCACAGCGCGGCGUUUACACAACACGAGCCCCUUCCCCACAGCGCAGUGCUUGCACAACACAGGCCCCUUCCCCACAGCGCAGUGUUUACACAACACAGGCCCCUUCCCACGCAGUGUUUUACACAACACGGGCCCCUUCCCCACAGCGCAGUGUGUUACACAACACGGGCCCCUUCCCACAGCUCAGUGUUUACACAACAGAGGCCCCUUCCCACAGCGCAGUGUUUACACAACAGAGGCCCCUUCCCACAGCGCAGUGUGUUACACAACACGGGCCCCUUCCCACAGCGCAGUGUUUACACAACAGAGGCCCCUUCCCACAGCGCAGUGUGUUACACAACACGGGCCCCUUCCCACAGAGCAGUGUGUUACACAACACGGGCCCCUUCCCCACAGCGCAGUGUGUUACACAACACGGGCCCCUUCCCACAGCGCAGUGUUUACACAACACGGGCCCCUUCCCCACAGCGCAGUGUUUACACAACAGAGGCCCCUUCCCACAGCGCAGUGUGUUACACAACACGGGCCCCUUCCCACAGAGCAGUGUGUUACACAACACGGGCCCCUUCCCACAGCGCAGUGUGUUACACAACACGGGCCCCUUCCCACAGCGCAGUGUUUACACAACACGGGCCCCUUCCCCACAGCGCAGUGUUUACACAACAGAGGCCCCUUCCCACAGCGCAGUGUGUUACACAACACAGGCCCCUUCCCCACAGUGCAGUGUGUUACACAACACGGGCCCCUUCCCACAGCGCAGUGUGUUACACAACACAGGCCCCUUCCCCACAGCGCAGUGUGUUACACAACACGGGCCCCUUCCCACAGCGCAGUGUUUACACAACACGGGCCCCUUCCCACAGCGCAGUGUGUUACACAACAUGGGCCCCUUCCCACAGCUCAGUGUUUACACAACAGAGGCCCCUUCCCACAGCGCAGUGUGUUACACAACACGGGCCCCUUCCCACAGCGCAGUGUUUACACAACACGGGCCCCUUCCCACAGCGCAGUGUUUACACAACAUGGGCCCCUUCCCACAGCUCAGUGUUUACACAACAGAGGCCCCUUCCCACAGCGCAGUGUGUUAGACAACACGGGCCCCUUCCCACAGCGCAGUGUGUUACACAACACGGGCCCCUUCCCACAGCGCAGUGUGUUACACAACAGAGGCCCUUUCCCCACAGCGCAGUGUGUUAG